RNAcentral lists this ribosomal RNA (492 nucleotides) under uncultured bacterium. RNAcentral's name for it is "partial 16S ribosomal RNA". It matches the Rfam family "Bacterial small subunit ribosomal RNA", at positions 29 to 507 of the family's 1533-position model. The record is from RNAcentral.
AGUGAACGCUGGCGGUAGGCCUAACACAUGCAAGUCGAACGGCAGCACAGUAAGAGCUUGCUCUUACGGGUGGCGAGUGGCGGACGGGUGAGGAAUACAUCGGAAUCUACUUUUUCGUGGGGGAUCACGUAGGGAAACUUACGCUAAUACCGCAUACGACCUACGGGUGAAAGCAGGGGAUCUUCGGACCUUGCGCGAUUGAAUGAGCCGAUGUCGGAUUGGCUAGUUGGCGGGGUAAAGGCCCACCAAGGCGACGAUCCGUAGCUGGUCUGAGAGGAUGAUCAGCCACACUGGAGCUGAGACACGGACCAGACUCCUACGGGAGGCAGCAGUGGGGAAUAUUGGACAAUGGGCGCAAGCCUGAUCCAGCCAUACCGCGUGGGUGAAGAAGGCCUUCGGGUUGUAAAGCCCUUUUGUUGGGAAAGAAAAGCAGCAGGUUAAUACCCCGCUGUUCUGACGGUACCCAAAGAAUAAGCACCGGCUAACUUCGUG